AAAAGAAGAAUGGGAAGGAUUUUCACAAAUGGGAGAAGAGGAGAAAGACAUUCUAGAAACUAGUCUGAGGAGGCAAAGAAGCAAUUUCCAGAUGGAUGAACAGAUGUAAUUGGCCUUCAGCUGGAUUCAUUUAUUUUGAAAUGGUGGACAACCGCAGCUGCAGACCUCAAUCUAUGGUACAUAUCAAGCAAUGCAACUUUUUCUUGUCAUGUCAUGACUUUUGUCUGCUUCUUGGGAGCACUUCCACCAUCAUUAGUAGCACUUGAUAUGGGUCCUAUGAUAUUAUUCAAAUUAUUUACUGUAUUGUGCUAAACAUGAUGGAAAAUAUGGAACUGCUAGAGAACACUUUUUACUGUGAUACACAAUUGACUGGAGAGAUGAACUGCUCAUUUGAAGAUGAUUAGCGUCACGUGGCAUUUUAAGUGAAUACUCGCAACCCUUGAGCUCAUCACAAUGGCAACGGAAGGUGGCUACAAAAUUAUCAGUCGUACAGUAUGUACUACAGUUAAUUUUAUACAGUUAUGAUUUCAUACUGCAUCUUUAUCUCUGUUUACAUUUCUCUGGACUGUGAAUGGCGUCACGUAGUCUGUGUGCAAAUCGUUUUGAUAAAUUAUAAUUUAAAAAACACUUGUGUAUAUUUUAUGGUAGUAAAUGAUAAAAUGCACUAGUAUUGACAUAGUCAAUUUUAUGCAUCUAUGACAUACCAACUUUUUCUUAACUUCUGAUAUUUCUAAGCUAUAGUUUGCAAGUUUUUUCAAAUUGCCAAAAAUCUCCAAAAAAUUUUCCAAGAUACUUAUUGAAAAAAAAAAUCUGCCUGUAAGUAGACCCACACAGAGUUCAGACUCAUGUUGUUCAAGGGUCAACUGUACCUUUUUCAAAUGCUUGUCACCACUAAUUUAUUAUAUUCCCCAUGAUUUCACUGCGAAUUUACUAGGGGUUUAAAAUAAAUAAAUAUAAACAAAUACAAAACUCAGAAGAACAUUUACUUCCCAAGAUGCCAGAAUAACAAUCUAGUUGGAAUCUAAAUAUAAAACCACCAGCAACACAAACAGCUUAUAAAGUAGUGUCAACUAGCACAGUUUUAGGCACUUCACUCAGUACUUGAUAUAUGACAAUACAGCUUUACAUUCAAGUGCUGAAGUAACUUAAGAUUCAAGUGUACGUAUGACUGCUUCUUGGAGAAUUAGUCCUAGAAAUGAUCUGGAUGUGAGGACAAGCAGAAUGUGCUACGUGCUUAUUCGAAUAUCUACCUAUAUCUAAAUGUAACUCAACAGGAUUGAUACUAAAAAUCCAAUGCUACAAACAUACUAUUUCUUAUUUCCUUGACCCCUAUCUGAAACAACACCUUCUUCAACUUAGGGUCUCUGCUUUUAUCACUUCCUUUCCACAUAUACUUUAUCUACUUUAAGGUAUCCUCCCCAUCUCUUCCUUGCUUCCCUAAUCCCCAAAAACCUCCCUACAUCUCAUUUUCACAUCACUGUGAUCCACACACUGGUAAAGGGACAGAAAAAUGUUCCUUCCAUUUGUAGACAUACUUGCAGAUGCAGGGACUUAAUUCAGGGAUCAACGUUGUAUAAAAAGAAUCCAGAGUUUGACCAACUCACCUUCCCAGCUACAAAUGGCAUAUCACCCAAGCAUAAUCUAUAAUGUGGUUGUGCACCAAAAUAGUUCCUAGAACUUUUCUGAAUGAAAAGAAAAGGAAAACAAUUUUAUUUUAUUCACAUGAUAAUAAAAACCGACUAUACAUGACUAACUUGAAACUUCAGUUAACUACUAGGCUACUACUUGCCUUAUCUAUAGCUGGCAUUAUGAUCACAAGCCAGCUCCUAAUAGUACUUGUUAGCAUAUAUCCUAGCCUAGGAAAGGCUGGGGGGAAAAAAGCACUUGACAAAACAACAGUUACAUUCUAAGUAGAAAAUCAGUAUACAUAUACACAAAACAUUGUAAAAGCACAAGAUAAUGCAGUACUAAUAAUGCUAAUUUUGUAUGGUGUUCUGUAGUUCCAAAAUGCUUAUAUAUUUUCUCACUAUCAGGAUAAAAAUUUAGGAGUAGGUAUUACUUAUCUCCACCUUCUGAAUGAAGAAAUUGAGAAUGAAAGAUUUACUCUCUCAAGGUUGUAGUACACCACACAGUUUAUGGGUGUUUUGACAUAAACUAUACCAAGUAAUCAGCAUUUUGCCUGAUUUGGUUCUGUCUUCACACCUUUUCUGGUGGUUUUGACUUCUUUUUUUUAAUUCUUCUUGCAUUGGGAACACACGGAGUUGCCUUAUCUUCAAAGAUAAGUCUAUUUGUUUCUAGACCAGUCUGCAACUAGGAAAAAUGAGAGC
Molecule: long non-coding RNA, 2327 nt
Filed under: Pan troglodytes (chimpanzee)
Lineage: Eukaryota; Metazoa; Chordata; Mammalia; Primates; Hominidae
Description: long non-coding RNA NONPTRT003195
Source: RNAcentral